AGGGACCGGUCAUUAUUUAUGGCGAGGGGUGGCACCGAAGAGAAAUGUUUUCCGUGUCAAAAAUUUUGCUGACCCAACCAUUAAAAAGACAAAAAUUUGAUUACCCAACCUCAAAUAUCAAUUAAAAAAUAAAUACCCACCCCUGGCCAAAAACUUAACAAACGGAUACCAUUCAGUUGUCAUACAUGUCCUUUAUCACUUCAGUGACAUGAGUUUGAUAACGGCUUGUGAAAUUUUCUGCAGUCUAAAGUUUCAUGUUGUCUGCACAUGUACUUUCUUUGGAAACACAAUUUGUUUUGUCAAACUAUGAUCAAGAUAGUGACUCUGAUUGAUUCACAUAUUGUAUUGACAAAUGACUGUUGACAUUGCUUUUCAGUCUCCAAUAUUUCAGUGGGUCAUGCUUUGAAAAUGACAAUAAAUUUUUAUUACCCAACCCUUCCCAACCCUUGAGUUGUUUUGUUUUUCAUUUACCCAACCUUUUACUCACUCAAAAUUUUGUUUACCCAACCUUUUUCUCUUCGGUGCCACCCCCCGCCAUAAAUAAUGACCGCUCCCUUAACAGCUUGUUCCAAACUUCUUACAACAACUGGGAACAAGCAGUGCGAACACAACUUGUCGACAGCUUGUGGACAGAUUUGUAACAACUUGUUUGCAGAC
This is a non-coding RNA of Paramuricea clavata, 657 nucleotides long. Lineage: Eukaryota; Metazoa; Cnidaria; Anthozoa; Malacalcyonacea; Plexauridae. The record is from the annotation of a GenBank genome assembly.